GCUCCGGUGGCUUGGUGGUUAGAGCGUCCGCCUCGAUCGCGGAAGGUUGUGGAUUUGAUCCCCGGUAGGAUCA
Potamilus streckersoni is the source of this 73-nucleotide non-coding RNA. Lineage: Eukaryota; Metazoa; Mollusca; Bivalvia; Unionida; Unionidae. The record is from the annotation of a GenBank genome assembly.